GGAGGUGUCGGAUAGUGGUUUAUUCCACCGCCUUGGAAAGGCGGCAUGCCGAAAGGCAUCGAGAGUUCGAAUCUCUCCGCCUCCG
This 85-nucleotide transfer RNA is filed under the name bacterium. RNAcentral's name for it is "tRNA-Ser". It matches the Rfam family "tRNA". From Rfam's summary of the family: Transfer RNA (tRNA) molecules are approximately 80 nucleotides in length. Their secondary structure includes four short double-helical elements and three loops (D, anti-codon, and T loops). The record is from RNAcentral.